GUUCCGGAAGGAAGUGGUUCCGGGUCCCGCGGCCCGGCUGAGGUAGCCGUGUUGCCGUUUCUGUGGGAGGCGGCGGCCGUGUGAGGGGCGAGGCCCGAGGGGCCGGCAGCGGCGGCGGCGGCAGUCGCGGCGGCGGCGAUAGCGGGAACUUCUCGGUCCGGCUACAGAAUAUCCAGGCAGCUAGAGGACAUAAAAGCUGCUUUCCAAAUUUAGACGGCAAUUUUAGAUGUGAUGCAGGAUGUCAACUAUUCUCAAGUGUGCUAAAGUCCAAUUCUGCUGACCAGGCAGUCACUUCAGAGUCCUCUUUCUGAAGUGUAAAAAGAGGAUAGUGGCUCACGUGUCAAAGGAUGGCACGGUCACGCUCUAGAUCCCCCAGGUGGAGGCACAGGUCUUUAUCGCCAGUGCCUAGAAGUUCUGAACACUACAAGCAAAGAUAUGAGCAUUAUGGCUACGACUAUAGGAAGGAUCCCAAAAGACCCAUCACUUGGAGAAUGGACGAUGAGAAAUAUGGACAGAGCAAACCAAGGAUUUCUUCUCAUGAAAAUAUACAUUACCGAUCUUACGAGCAUAGAUCACCUUCCCCAAACAUAAGAGGAAACUCUUCAGAAAAGUUUUAUACUUAUAAGCCUCCCCAAGUAUAUUUACCAGAAAGAGGAGAUGAUAGUAACAGAAGAGCUCAGUAUGUGCCCAGACACUCAGAAGGUAUGUUCUACAGAGAGCACCAGAGGAGUUGUUAUCCCCAGAAAGCACAAGGAAGAUAUAUUCCUGAUGACCGCAGAAAUAGAAGAAGUGAAAAAGGAGGGACACCAUCUGUGAGAUCAACAACAGAUUCUUUUAGAUUCGAAGGACAUUGGCAUGAAGAUGAACCGAGGUACCAGAGGAUACAAGAUGAAAAAUACUCUCAGUCACUUAGAAGAGGCUCUGAAGAUUUUGAGAAAAGGAGCUCUUUUCAGAAGAGGUAUCCUGAGGAUCAUGAUUUCAGAAAAUAUGGACACACAUCAAAAAGACCUCACGAUGUGGAGAGGUAUGAAAACAGAGAGCCUGCCAGGAGCCCACAGUGGAAAUCCAGGCAUUUUUCUUCUCCUUACCAAGAGAAGAAAGAUCAGCGGAACCUUGAAACCCAAACUUAUCGAUAUGCUCCAAGGGAGUUCCCAGAGACCAGUUCAGCAGCCAAGGUAUCCUGUGAUUCUCGCCACAAAUAUCGGAAGACCUCAGAUGGCGACAAGGACUUUUAUGAUGGAAGAGCUCAGAAGUACCCUAAGGAGGAAGAUAGAAAAUUGGGUUCUCAAAAAGGCCCUGUGAACAGAGAGUCCAGUUGUUCUCAUGCUGGAAGAGGGAGAGAGACUGAAGGUGGGCAGGUCAGAGAAUCUUCUAAGCCAUCUAAGAAAGACUGUGCUGCCUUAACCCAUUCAGAUAAAAGUGAUGUUGAUUCGAGAUCCUGUAAGGACACACGGAAGGACAAAAUAAAGAAAGAAAGGGCUGGCAGUAAAGAGAGCAACUCUUCCUGUAACCAACUUGAUAAUAGUGAUUCCGACUUGAAACCUUCAUCUGUCUUUCUUAAGGAGAAGUCACUCACAGUUAAAGUAGAUGUGAAGCAAGGACAGAAUAAAUCUAGGGUUGCUUCUAGCUAUUCCACAGAGAGACAGAUGUCACAUGAUUUGGUUGCUGUUGGCAGGAAAAGUGAAAAGUUUCAUCCAGUGUUUGAACAUCUUGACUCAACUCAGAAUACUGAAAACAAACCUACAGGAGAAUUUGCUCAGCAAAUCAUAACUAUAAUCCAUCAAGUUAAAGCAAAUUAUUUUCCAUCACCUGAAAUAACUCUGCAUGAGCGUUUCUCAAAAAUUCAAGUUAAAAAAGCUGAAGAUGUAAAUGAAACUAAGUUGAGCUCGGAUCCAGAAAUUCACAGGAGAAUAGAUAUGUCUUUGGCCGAGCUUCAGAGUAAACAAACUAUGGUAUAUGACUCAAAACAGACUCUGGUCAAAAUAAUAGAUCCAAGUGACCUACGACAUGACAUUGAAAGAAGGAGAAAAGAACGGUUACAGAAUGAAGAUGAGCACAUUUUUCACAUAGCUAGUGCUGCAGAGAGGAGUGAUCAGCAUUCCAGUUUUUCAAGGUCAAAGGAUACUCAUGUUGAUGAAUUCCAAAAACCUACAUCUUUUGAAAAAUCAAAUUUUAGAAAAUUUAUUCAGAAACCUUGCUCGAGUGAUACUAUGCAGAAAAAAGAUGUCAUUACUCACAGACCAUUUGUUGAGGAAAACAAUCAAAAUACAAGAGGCUUUAGAAGACCUUUUAAGACCAACUUUAGAGGUGGCAGAUUUCAUUUCCAACAUAAAUCAGACCUAGUACAGAAGAGCUUGUACAUUCAGGCUAAAUAUCAGCGUUUACGGUUCGCUGGUCCAAGGGGAUUUAUCACUAAUAAAUUCAGAGAAAGAUUACUGAGGGGAAAAAAGCAGAUCUUCUAGGCAUGCGUCCCCAGUCAAAGGUGGCAGCCUGGCUGUUCUCAGGGAAGCUGGUCAUUGAUCCCCACUCGAGAAGGAAGGCUGAGGCAAGCCUUUUCCUCAAUUGCAAGGAAUAUACAAACAUUGACCCAGCAAUCUAAUCGGAAAUUGUUAUAAAUGGAAACGACACUACAGGACGAUAUUUGGGAGCAUCUUUUUAUCAAGAGUUAGAAUUGGCACUAAAGCACUAAUACUGUAACUUUCUUGAUAAAAUAAUUUUAUUUUUCUGUAGUGGAAUGCUGCAACUUUUUUACACCUAACAAUUGCUUUUAAAUUACAGUAUUCAAUUUAAAAGUUGUAUUAACUACAGCUUCUUUUGCAAAAAGUCUCAAAGGGGCAUUAUUUGUUGAUGCAUUUUUCUCUGAGCAUGGUUUCAUAGAGAAUUGAGUUAUAUCCAGACAUUUCUAUGUUGAAAGUUUUGCUUAUGAAAUAAAACAAAGUAUAAAUUGUAUAGUGUCUGUACAUGAAAGAACUUUAAACAGUGGCCUUACAUAGCAAUUUUUAUAUCAGAUUUUUCUUUUUCUGAUGACAUUUUGGCUUACAACUUGAAGUUUUCUUAAGCUUCUGAAGAUCGAGGUCUAUAUACUUCAUACAUUUCAUAUUAUGACAUAAGAAAGCGCAAAAAAGGUGCUUCAAAUUUUCCAUCAGGUAGUUAUGAGUGCACUGAAUUUUUAGUAAUUGGUUAAUUCAAUUUUUUUUCCACAACUAUUUGUUCUUUUCCAGUUUCAAAAUGCUAUUGUGAAAAAUACAUAAAGGUUUUAUAAUCUAUAUAUUCCAUCUUACUUUCCCUCAGGGUAAGCUUGUGCGUAUCAUAUUUUUAAAGGCUUUUAAAAAAUUGACAGACAAAAAUCUCAUAUUUGGAAAUUGUACUUUACUACAGCAUUACACAUUUUGCAAGCACAUAUUAUAAAGUUUUCAGUUCAGUUGUAUUGAGUACCUACAAUGUGUAAGAUAACAUCGAUGGGACUUUCAAUGAUAUUUUAAGUCUCAAUACCUUGUUUCUUUGUUUUCUGUGUUCUGCUUAAUAAUAAUAUACAUUCCCACUUACAUUUUUGUCAAAUGUUUAAUUGUAAUGAAAUAAAAUACUAUUGCUCCUUC
Bubalus bubalis (water buffalo) is the source of this 3596-nucleotide RNA transcript. It is a transcript of the gene named BCLAF1 and THRAP3 family member 3, with no coding region annotated. The record is from RefSeq and is a predicted model, not a curated record. The transcript has 14 exons. Lineage: Eukaryota; Metazoa; Chordata; Mammalia; Artiodactyla; Bovidae.